GGGGGCGUACUGGUUUCGACGGGGGUAUGGAGUUAAAAGUAGCGAGUGGCGGUUUUUCCUUGGGGUCCGCCUUAAUAAACUGGGGAACAUAAAGAUAAACGCAAACGAUAAUUACGCUUUA
This 121-nucleotide transfer-messenger RNA is filed under the name Alkaliphilus sp. It matches the Rfam family "transfer-messenger RNA", at positions 1 to 119 of the family's 374-position model. From Rfam's summary of the family: Bacterial tmRNA, also known as 10Sa RNA or SsrA, is named for its dual tRNA and mRNA-like properties. The record is from Rfam by way of RNAcentral. Lineage: Bacteria; Bacillati; Bacillota; Clostridia; Peptostreptococcales; Natronincolaceae.